UCUAUAACCUAUACCACCCUGAAUGUGCCUGAUCUCAUCUGAUCUCGGAAGCUAAGCAGCAUGGGGUGUGGUUAGUACUUGGAUGGAAGAAGAGAAUUCUCAGAGACAGUU
This 111-nucleotide ribosomal RNA is filed under the name Castor canadensis (American beaver). Lineage: Eukaryota; Metazoa; Chordata; Mammalia; Rodentia; Castoridae. The record is from RNAcentral.